CGUCUAUAUACGUAUAGCAUAUCAAUAAGCGGAGGAAAAGAAACUAACUAGGAUUCCCUCAGUUACGGCGAGUGAAGCGGGAAGAGCUCAAAUUUGAAAUCUUCAAGGUUUUACCUUGACGAAUUGUAGUUUAAAGAAGUGUUUUCUGUUGGAGUUUUGGUAAAAGUUCUUUGGAAAAGGACAUCAUAGAGGGUGAGAAUCCCGUAUUUGACCAUUAUUUUCAGCUGUGUGAUACACUUUCAAAGAGUCGGAUUGUUUGGGAAUGCAGUCCAAAAUGGGUGGUAAAUUUCAUCUAAAGCUAAAUAUUGGCGAGAGACCGAUAGCGAACAAGUACCGUGAGGGAAAGAUGAAAAGAACUUUGAAAAGAGAGUUAAACAGUACGUGAAAUUGUCAAAAGGGAAGCGUUUGACACCAGUGUUGUUUUUCCGAAAAUCAAUUACGAAUGGCUUGAUUUUGUGUUGUAUUGACCUUAUCAACUUUCUGCACUUUUUUCGAGUCUUUCUUAAUGCACUUUUCGGUUAACAAGUCAACAUCAAUUUCUUUUGUUGUAAAAGAGUAUUCGGAAGGUGGCUUUCUUUUCGGAGAAAGUGAUUUAUAGCCCUAUACUUCUACAAUCGGAGAGAUUGAGGUCUGCAGCGUAGAUCCUUCGGGGUUAGAUACAUUUGUGCUAAGUUAGUAGCUUUUCAUAGACAACUUGUUGACUAUGUUUAGUCAUUGUAGGCUUACUCGCUUACUGCUAUUUUACCUACGCUUAGGAUGUUGACUGAUAUGUAGUCGUA
RNAcentral lists this ribosomal RNA (779 nucleotides) under uncultured Neocallimastigales. Its description in RNAcentral is "partial large subunit ribosomal RNA". It matches the Rfam family "Eukaryotic large subunit ribosomal RNA", at positions 26 to 644 of the family's 3401-position model. Lineage: Eukaryota; Fungi; Neocallimastigomycota; Neocallimastigomycetes; Neocallimastigales. The record is from RNAcentral.